RNAcentral lists this microRNA precursor (75 nucleotides) under Myotis davidii. RNAcentral's name for it is "mir-9229 microRNA precursor family". It matches the Rfam family "mir-9229 microRNA precursor family". The record is from Rfam by way of RNAcentral. Lineage: Eukaryota; Metazoa; Chordata; Mammalia; Chiroptera; Vespertilionidae.
GAGACACCCCUACAGAGCAGGACUUGCUUCAGUGGGACUUUGGUGUUCACUGAGUCUGCCCCUUGAGUGGUCACU